This 426-nucleotide ribosomal RNA is filed under the name uncultured bacterium. RNAcentral's name for it is "partial 16S ribosomal RNA". It matches the Rfam family "Bacterial small subunit ribosomal RNA", at positions 354 to 796 of the family's 1533-position model. The record is from RNAcentral.
GUGAGGAAUUUUCCGCAAUGGGCGAAAGCCUGACGGAGCAAUGCCGCGUGAAGGAUGAAGGCCUAUGGGUUGUAAACUUCUUUUCUCAGAAAAGAAUUAUGACGGUAUCUGAGGAAUAAGCAUCGGCUAACUCUGUGCCAGCAGCCGCGGUAAGACAGAGGAUGCAAGCGUUAUCCGGAAUGAUUGGGCGUAAAGCGUCUGUAGGUUGUUUAAAAAGUAUUCUGUCAAAGAUUAGGGCUUAACCCUAGAUAGGCAGAAUAAACUUUUAAGCUAGAGUUUGGUAGAGGCAGAGGGAAUUCCCGGUGGAGCGGUGAAAUGCGUAGAUAUCGGGAGGAACACCAAAGGCGAAGGCACUCUGCUGGGCCAAUACUGACACUGAGAGACGAAAGCGAGGGGAGCAAAUGGGAUUAGAAACCCUAGUAGUCC